Molecule: ribosomal RNA, 408 nt
Filed under: uncultured bacterium
Lineage: Bacteria
Description: bacterial SSU rRNA
Rfam family: Bacterial small subunit ribosomal RNA
Source: RNAcentral
AUUGAACGCUGGCGGCAUGCUUUACACAUGCAAGUCGAGCGGCAGCGCGGGGGGCAACCCUGGCGGCGAGCGGCGAACGGGUGAGGAAUACAUCGGAACGUACCCCGGAGUGGGGGAUAACGCCGCGAAAGCGGCGCUAAUACCGCAUAUGCUCUGAGGAGGAAAGUGGGGGACCUGCAAGGGCCUCACGCUCUGGGAGCGGCCGAUGUCCGAUUAGCUAGUUGGUGGGGUAGAGGCCCACCAAGGCGACGAUCGGUAGCUGGUCUGAGAGGAUGAUCAGCCACACUGGGACUGAGACACGGCCCAGACUCCUACGGGAGGCAGCAGUGGGGAAUUUUGGACAAUGGGGGCAACCCUGAUCCAGCCAUGCCGCGUGCGGGAAGAAGGGCCUUCGGGUUGGUAAACCGC